Molecule: ribosomal RNA, 206 nt
Filed under: uncultured bacterium
Lineage: Bacteria
Description: partial 16S ribosomal RNA
Rfam family: Bacterial small subunit ribosomal RNA
Source: RNAcentral
GGAUUGUAGUCUGCAACUCGACUACAUGAAGCUGGAAUCGCUAGUAAUCGCGAAUCAGAAUGUCGCGGUGAAUACGUUCCCGGGUCUUGUACACACCGCCCGUCACACCAUGGGAGUCGGAUAUGCCCGAAGUCAGUGACCCAACCAUAUGGAGGGAGCUGCCGAAGGUGGAGCCGAUAACUGGGGUGAAGUCGUAACAAGGUAGC